Molecule: ribosomal RNA, 500 nt
Filed under: uncultured bacterium
Lineage: Bacteria
Description: partial 16S ribosomal RNA
Rfam family: Bacterial small subunit ribosomal RNA
Source: RNAcentral
AUUGAACGCUGGCGGCAUGCCUUACACAUGCAAGUCGAACGGCAGCACGGGAGUAAUCCUGGUGGCGAGUGGCGAACGGGUGAGUAAUAUAUCGGAACGUGCCCAGUCGUGGGGGAUAACGCAGCGAAAGCUGUGCUAAUACCGCAUACGACCUCUGGAUGAAAGCGGGGGACCGUAAGGCCUCGCGCGAUUGGAGCGGCCGAUAUCAGAUUAGCUAGUUGGUGGGGUAAAGGCCCACCAAGGCGACGAUCUGUAGCUGGUCUGAGAGGACGACCAGCCACACUGGAACUGAGACACGGUCCAGACUCCUACGGGAGGCAGCAGUGGGGAAUUUUGGACAAUGGGCGCAAGCCUGAUCCAGCAAUGCCGCGUGCAGGAUGAAGGCCUUCGGGUUGUAAACUGCUUUUGUACGGAACGAAACGGCGAGCUCUAAUAAAGUUUGCUAAUGACGGUACCGUAAGAAUAAGCACCGGCUAACUACGUGCCAGCAGCCGCGGUAA